This 1103-nucleotide long non-coding RNA is filed under the name Vulpes vulpes (red fox). Its description in RNAcentral is "lncRNA (ENSVVUG00000015142.1)". The record is from RNAcentral. Lineage: Eukaryota; Metazoa; Chordata; Mammalia; Carnivora; Canidae.
CGGGGCCCCGCGCCCCGCGCCCAGGCGACUCGCGUGCCGCCCGCUUUGGCUCCGCGCGGGCAGCCUCGCCGCGCAGCCUCCGGAGCCCGGGGCAGCCGGGCGUCCUCCCACCCGCCGGCGUGGGGCGCAGGCGGCCGCGGCCGGAGGAGGGGGCCUGGUCAAGACCCAUAAAAGUUGGAUCUUUCCCCAGAGGAAACCACCGAGGCUCACCUGGGCGAGAGGCCACCCCGCAGCGGGCGACCCAGGCCCGCGCCCGCGGGCAGCCUCGCCGCGCAGCCUCCGGAGCCCGGGGCAGCCGGGCGUCCUCCCACCCGCCGGCGUGGGGCGCAGGCGGCCGCGGCCGGAGGAGGGGGCCUGGUCAAGACCCAUAAAAGUUGGAUCUUUCCCCAGAGGAAACCACCGAGGCUCACCUGGGCGAGAGGCCACCCCGCAGCGGGCGACCCAGGCCCGCGCCCCUCACCCGCGGGAGGGGGCCCGGCGGUGUAACCAAGGUCCGGGGGCCCCGCUCGGGAUCCGAGGGCCACACACGGGGGAGCGGCCCCGCCGCCUCCUCUGGCUCGGCGGGAGGCUGCGAGCGCCCCGGGAGCCCUCGCUUCGACGGAGGCACACGGGGGCGCGGUGUGAUAUACGUGUCGUGGGCAAGGGUCUGACCUGAACGCGUCCGCCACCAGCGAGCUAAGUCCCUGGGGGGUUUGCGGAGACCCGGAGGAGGACGUCGCCGCGGCCGACUAGGCGCCCUGACCAGGUGCGGCCAAAGUUAGGGGAGGCCUCACCCGGGUCGGGCCCAGGCCACACCUGCAGCCCCCGCCCCCCCGCCUCGCUCUCCCCAGCGCCCCCGGGGAUCGGGAAGAGGCAGGUCCCGCGGCGCCCGUCACUCGGGCACGCCUCCGAGGGGUCCCUUCCGGGGGGCGCGGGCAGCCCGGCCCCGCUUCCCAGCACCUGGGGGGCGGAGCCCGAGGUCCCCCGCGGGGAGGGACGCGCGUCGCAGCGGUGCGCGCCCCCUUCUGGCGCGGCCCCCGGGAGGCCCCGGCCGGUCCCGAGCGCCCCGAGCCCGUUCCGGGAAGGUGACUCAGCGACGCGCCCCGGGCUCGAGAAACUCCGCA